Molecule: ribosomal RNA, 255 nt
Filed under: uncultured bacterium
Lineage: Bacteria
Description: partial 16S ribosomal RNA
Rfam family: Bacterial small subunit ribosomal RNA
Source: RNAcentral
GACAGAGGGUGCAAACGUUGCUCGGAAUCAUUGGGCGUAAAGCGCGUGUAGGCGGCCCGGUAAGUCCGCUGUGAAAGUCGGGGGCUCAACCCUCGAAUGCCGGUGGAUACUGUCGGGCUAGAGUGCGGGAGAGGCGAGUGGAAUUCCUGGUGUAGCGGUGAAAUGCGCAGAUAUCAGGAGGAACACCAAUUGCGAAAGGCAGCUCGCUGGAACGUAACUGACGCUGAGAACGCGAAAGCGUGGGGAGCAAACAGG